Molecule: long non-coding RNA, 227 nt
Filed under: Panax ginseng (ginseng)
Lineage: Eukaryota; Viridiplantae; Streptophyta; Magnoliopsida; Apiales; Araliaceae
Description: long non-coding RNA (PGIN_LNC018982)
Source: RNAcentral
CAAUGACCAACAAUGAGGAAAAGGUUGUUGAUAUUACUGAACCUUCUCAAAGUAUCUUUUGGGAUAUCGUUUAAUUUCUUGUUUUAAUUAAACAUCUUGCAUGUAUAAUAUUAUUAGUUUUCGUUCUAUACGUGGUAUGUGUUUAUCAUGAAUAAAAUUAUAUAUUAAAUAUAACUUUUCUUAUUUAUGUUUUUAUAUGUGUCAGACCAUCUUUAAUGGAUAUGGAG